UCCCGCUCCGGGCGGGCGGUCCCGCUGCCAGGUGCUUCCCGGCCCACUGCCCUGCGGCCUGCUCGACGCAAGGUGGAGCGGGGGCGGGCGGGGCCCAGCCUGGGCCGGCCCAGCUGCCCCUCGCCCCCGCGCCGCCACCUGCCGCCCGCGUCAGAGCCGCCGCGGGGCUGGCACCGCCGCAGGGUCCGCCGCUCCCCAGCGUCCGCUGCUCCCCAGCGUCCGCAGCCGGAGCCCCGCGGGCCGCCCUCCCGGCACCCGGCCGGGCUGGGGGCAGCGCGGCGUUGUGAGCGCGGGCCGAUCGCAUCGUGGCAGAAAUCCUGCGUUACGGGUCCGAGCGAGAAACCGGUAGCUGGGCCGGAGGGGUGCAGUUCCCACCGGGUGUAAAAGCUCUCGUUCUCUCGUUCCGUAAUCAUACCUUCUGCUUUCAGGAAGAGGAGACCUAAAAGGAAAAAAAAACAAAAAAAACCACUUUUUUUUCCCCAGAUAAUCAAUAAACAACCUACACUGGGCUUAAUAAACAUAUUUAAUGUAUUAACAAUGAAAACAUUGCCAUCAAAUACUUGCUUUUCACUUCAGGCAAUAAAAUAAUUUAUUAAGUUUCCAUUUGUUUCUAGGCUUUCUUAUUUCCAUUUUUUUCUUAUCUUGAGGUGAUUCUGUAGAAUUUGUAGUUCCCUGCUUCUGGGGAAUGCUUUUAUCCAAACAAAUUAGAUUCAGUCAAAGCAUUUCUGUUGAUGGAAUACUUUUAACAAGUAAUUGACUGAAUUUGAGGCCUUUACAUAUCCUACAUUAUCUCCAUGUGCUAUAAGUUCACCCACUAUAAUAUAUCACCUCAUCUCGUGGGAGCAGCAUAACAUCUCUAGAAAGUGCACUAUGGAACACUGGCAGUUUGGGGAAGAACCUUGCAUCUGAAGUUCGACCAGAAGUCAGUACAGUCAAAAAUGCUUAAAAACAGGUAUAGGGCAGAGUUAGGUAAAGGUCUAGAGGGAUUUUUCAGAAUUAAUUGUACCGUCAGAAAUCUACAUGAGUUGUGGAUUUGUGUAUUCAUGUGAAAACAGAUAUUGCCAUUCUUUACAAGUACAAAUUGUCUAGUAUCUCUCAAAAAAAUUAUUAAAUUUAGGUUUUUACAUAUGUAUCUUUACCCAGUGUGAGCUGGCUGCUGACUUGAACAGUUUGAUGAGGAUCUAUCUGAGAGUCAUUAAAGAAAGGUAACAAAUCAAGCAGUACAAAGUGUUCAAUGGACUAAUAGAAUUAAUUUAAAAACAUUAGAUUUGGCAUUAGCUGGGAAUACUGAAACCCAAGUACAAAGGUAGCAGAGAACCGUAACAUAAAACCAACUGCAAGAUAAAAAUGAAACUUGUCAGGAAAAUUAUGAGUGAUUUGCAAAGUUUGAGGCAGAAUCUCCGUUUUGUCCUGCUUUAAUAGUUCAACAUUCUUGGUUGUCAACUCUAUGUACAGAAGAUUCCCAUGGCUGUGGAGCUGCUCGCAAACAAGGGCUUAAGGUGGUUUGGAAUUCUUGGAUGUUUUUAUCAUUCUGUGGAUUAAUUUAACCAAAAUAUCAUCUGCAGGUUUUCAUGUUAAGUUUUCAGUUCCUUAAAAUUUGUCAUGUUUCAGAAGGUAGUUGCAAAACUACAAAUAUUGAUAAUAACGUAUCUAUAAAUACGUUUGUACAUUUCAAACAGUAUUCCCUUGCAUGCCCCCACAAAAUUCCAGGCCCCUCUUUAAGUGACUUUCAAGCAGUUUGUUUUCAUUGAGUUUUGUCACUUUUCACCUUCAGAUGAGAAUUCUUGUCUCUUCAUUUUGAGCAAUGUAUGUUUCCUAACAAAAUGAGGAGAGAAGCAGUCUCCUGGUGUUUGUUACGGCUCUGUUUCAAGCAGCCAUAGUGUCUGUUUGAGCAUUAGUCUUCUAAGAUUUCCAAGCAGCUGGGAGAAACUGGUGACAACUCUUGCUGCCCAUUAGUUUCUGAGAAGCAGAACUGAAACUGGCAGGAACGUUGCUGGCUCUACACUGCUAUGGUUUUGAUAAAUCAGAAGAGAAAACCAAAGCAAUCUUUGUAUACGUUAUCUUUGAUACCAAGGAAGUCUAGAAACUAAAAAUGCAGAGGACAGUAUUUUGCAUCCCGUUAUUGAUUACCCCAGUCAUUGUGGAAAGUGUCUCAUUCACAACUUGGAAAUAGAUAUGUGGAUGGGUUGCAUUUUUGAUUGUGUUUUGUUUUGUUUGUUUUUUUUUAAACUUUGAUAUAUUUAAUAUAAGGAACUGGACACUUCACAUCUUUGUGUACAAAGUUUUCAUUAUUUACUUGCUAAAAAAUCAUCACAAUUAAGGAUGCGGCCCCUGUCAAAGUGGUUUGACCUAAUACAUUCUUCUGAUCCUGGAUGCAAACCCGCUAGUUAAAAUUUCUUCUGUCUUUGUAGUGUUCUUCAAUACAAGAGCACAUUGUAUGUAUGAUUUAAACUGAUUUGUGCUGCGAGAAUUAGAAAUCCUGUUUUCCUUUGUGGUGCACAGCUUUCAAUCUGACUCUUCAAUCAGGGAUGCAGGAGUUAAUGUACUAAUUUGCAAAAUCUCAACAAAGCAGUACAUUUCUGCAUCUUCCUACAUGUGGCAGGCUUGCAAUUACGUUUUUUUAAAGGAGGAAGUCUAAGAAGAUGGUCAUCCAUAACAAUUAGUUUGUCUCUAGUGAUGUAAUUUGUGGGGGAAUUUAGGCAACCUAAAUAAGCACAGUGUAGUUGAAAUGUCAAAUUGCAUAGCUGCUGUACUUCACCUUCUUUGAAAUUUUUUUCCAUUGUCUGAAGGCAAGAAUUAAAGUACUUCCAUAGUCAUACUGGAGUAUGGAUGCCCCAAAACCAGCUAAUGAUUAUUACAGGCAGUUUUUGCCAUUUUAAAAAUAUGUUGUGUUAUGGUUUGUGAUCUCCUGAGUAUGUAUUAUUAAAUAAAGGCAACCAGUCAUCUCUUUGUAUGCUUACUCCUUAUUCAUGUUUAUGAAAUGAAAUUUCACAUCCAAUCUUGAGUAUUCUAGAUUUAAUGGUGUUCAUUCAGUUGAAUGAAUUUAGAAUUACAGUGGAAAAUGACUCAGUGAAUUGUUUCUUUUUCCAUUUCUGGUUUGUGAAGAUUCCUUUUCCUUUUUCCUUUUUACUUUUUCCUUUUCCUUUUUCUGAUUUCCCUUAGUAAAACUUUUGUUUUCACUUCUAUAUAUUUUAUUGGAAUGUCAGUUCCUAAAACUUACUUUUCAGAUGAUGCUUUUUUCUUUUUGGGGAAUACACUUUUGCUCCUUUAUAGAAAUUGUAGUUGAAAGAUUUACUAGGAGAACAAUGACCCAGAAAUAUGCAGCUUGACUGCAGCGAGCUGAGGAACUAAUCUUGAAUAAAACGUGGAUUUUAGAGAUAUCAACAUACGGUUUUAGUCCCCUUCCAGAUGGCCUUUCAGUUUCUGGUUUUGCUUCCAAGUGUAUCUUAUAAGUCUUGAAGGUGUACCUUGGGAUGCUUUAAAGUCUCAAAAAACGUUAAAGCCACUUGAAAUUUGCACAUUCACUUAGAAAGGCGUUUGUAAACAUUUAUCAAGAGAAAUUACCCUUUUUUCACUUCCUCAGCUUUUGGUUUUUUUUUUUCUGUUUCUGUACUUGACCACGAAUUUAUUUGUUCACUUAAAGCUUGAAGCUAUGAUUCCUAAUAAAUAGUUGUGUCUUGCACAACUUGAGAAGGCUGCACCUGCUUGAAAGAUUUAAGGAUAAGGAUGUAAACUGUGAUAAAGCAUCAAUGUGUACAUAGUUGUAUAUAGCUAUAAUGACUUGUGUAUAUGCCACUGACUUUUCAAAACUUCUGCUUGUUAUGAAAAACUGUUUGUGAAGAUGACAAAAGCCUUCAAAACCAUUUUGUUUCUCUUGCUCUCCUUUUGCCCUACUUGUUGCAUAUUGUUUUUCUCUUGAAAGCAAUUAACCUGUGCUGAUACCUAUGUCAGGUAGGCGUGCUGUAUAAAAUAAAUGUACAACAACAAAACCACGACCUGAAAUUCCAUUCUUAUGCUAAUUUUAACUUUAGAUGUGAUCUCUGUUUCAGAGACUUCACACAAGCAAAAAAUUAUUUUAGAAAAAGGAAAAACCUGAAAAGGUCAUUCCACAUUAUUCAUCCAAAAGGCAAAUCUUGUGUGUUCAAAAUGCAAUUGGAAUGCAAAUUUGGGUACAAGCAUUAGAUUGUGAACAGAUGUGAUUUUUUUUGUUUAUUUUCAAAGUACCUGGAACUUUAGUUGAGAACAUCUCCUUCAAUCCUUUAUUUUCUGCUACUAGAUACAGUAGCAAAAUACUAUAUCAAAAUAUUAUUUUUUUGUUUUAAAUUACAUCUGAACUCGUGACUGAUCAAAUUACAGUUGUAGUGCAGUUAGAUUACCUGGUUUUAUUAGUAGCACAUUUUCCAUUUGUCUUUGUUUAUGAUGACUCUGCAUAAGUGUCCUUAUCCAUUAUAUUAUCUAAUUAAAUGUAUUGUGAAUAUUUUCCCAUAUGGUUCAUGUUUGUUUCCUUUUGUAAUUUACCCUCUGUUUCUGAUUUAGUUCUGUUCCCCAGCCCUCUUGCAGUUUGCUGUCUCACAGUUUUGUGCAAUUGCUCAUUUGGCUCUUGUUUGGACUUACUCUCUUUGUUGUGAUAUCUGUACAGCUGGCUCACUCAGCUCUUUAAAUCCCAACUUAAAAUUGAUUUCUUAAUUGUUGCAUACUCUUCUCAUUUAUAUUUGGGGGUUUUAAUUGCUGGAACACGUUCUUAUAUUAGACGAUAUUCAUUUUUUAUGUCUCAUUUGUCUUUUUUUCCUCACUACAAAUUGCAUAGUACUUCUGCAGGAAAUGUUUGUUAAUACAUAAAGCAAAGCUGUUGUUUUGGGGUGGCUAUAGUUUUGGAGCUUGCAGUGUGUGUUCUCAAUAUACAGAAUUAACAUCAAGAAAAACAGAAAAAAAAUAUUAGAGUCUACCAAAAGAAAUAAAUACAAUUAAAAGACUAAUUUUGCUUAAGAGACCUAAAAAAAUCAUCAUGCCAUAAGGAGAAACACAGAUACUGUAAUAAUUAUUUUCUGAGAUGUGAACUGGAGCUUUGGUGUACUCAGCAUAGCUGGUCUGAUUCUCUUGUUAGGCAAGAUAGGGAUGUAUCUGGUAGACACAAACAUAUGGUAUUAAAAUGCACAAUAAUAUGUUUGAAACUCAGAUGCACAGACCAAAUUUAUUGGCACUGUAGAGCUGUGUAAAAUCUAGGGUAAUUAUAUCUGAGUUCAGUUUACUGGAGCAGGGAACAGGAGUUCAGUGCAAGAAUGAUCAUGUGUUGAUAAAGAAUUGGAAAGGGAUUACGAGUCUCAUGUAAGGCUAUGCAUAUCAGGAAUUUUUGGUUGCAAGAUCAAACAAGGAAAGCCUAGUUUGGUUCCAUCUAAACAUAAAACUUUUUUUUUUUUUUUUUCCUUGUGGAAAUAAAAGCCUAAAAAGAUUUUAUGUGGGAUCAAGUAGAAAAUGUCUUUUUUACCCAUGUAUUAAAAGCUUGGAUUAGAGGAGUUGUUACAAGCAGAGCAAGUGGUCCAGGAGUUUCCAUGAACCAAAUGGUUUGAGUUUGGACAGAGGUGUUUGUGGUGGGCAGUACUGUAAAUCUCUGGGCUUUAGAUAUGCUGAAGAACCCUCACUUUCUCUUACUGAUGCUGACUGACUGUGCAAGUAUGGAAGGAGGACAAGAGCCCCUGUGUUGUCUUAAGAGAAGUACUUUGAAAUACUCUCUACUCCUCUAACCACUUGGAUAUUCUGGCCAUUACGUUACAAUCUUCCUCUAGUUCGAUGACUGUUUUAAGUAUUUUGUACAAACAAAAAACAUUAAUCAGUACAGAUGAAGACCACCUGAACUGUUUUCUUUAGGAAGGUGAAUUGAUGUAAUUGGUGAAUGAUGAUGAUGAUUCAGAUUUCUUUGAGGAGAGGAUAGAAUCAAGCCUUGGUUUUUAACAUCCUGGAGGAGCUCAGUGACUACAGGACUUUCAUAUUAAAGAUGGAUUGCACCCAACAUUUCAUAUGCACGGGGCAUGUUCUGAAUGGCCCAGAUCAGUUUCUGCAGAGCACCAGGUAGAGAAUAGCCGGGCUUGAAGAUCUGCAGAUGGUUAGGGAGGGUGAAGAGCUAGGCAGUUGUAGGGACAACCAGAAGCAGAUCUUCAUGGGCAUGGAUAAUUUAACUGAAAAAUCCUGAGUAACUAGGAUUAGCCAGAAUCUGGAAGUGAUAAUGGAGAGCUUUGUUUGGAUUUAGAUGCCUGCAGGAUCUUGUCUGACCACUGUUUUGCAAAUACGAAAGCUAUCUGGAGUAAUAAAAUUUGAUGUGCUUUUAGGUAAUUUUAUUUCUGUUUAAAAGAUUCAUUAUCUAUUUCAGUAGCCGUUGGUAGGCAUUCAUUGGAGCCGUCGAUUUCUUGCAGGCGAUGACUAAUUCGUGUUUAGUAACUGUGGUAGGUGAUCAUUUGUGGGAAUUAGCUGCCUUGUGUAGAGUUUUACAUCGGACUAAUGUCUCCAGACGGCCUUUGUAGGAUCUAGUCAGUAGAGCCUGGUACCCCUCACAGGCAGCUGAAGUUAAGGGAGGUAAACCCACACUGUCUCUUACUCUUGAUAUCAGUCCCAUGAGUGCGAUGUGUUUUGCUGUCAUGAGGUUGUUGGGGUUUAUGGACAUAAUUCAUCUCUCUGCUCUAACUUUUACUCCCAGUUUUGUAGGGUGAAAAGUCAUAGAAUUUGUUGCCUCACCUGCAACUGGUGUCUUUUUUGCUGAGUAUCUUUAGACAUCGUUCCCUGGUAAAGUCAUGCAACCUCUGUGGAUUUUCGCACAGUGUACCAUAUAUCACGCAACACUAAAGGCAACAAAAGCAUUUGUUGAAUUAAAGAAAUGGUUUGGUUUGGUUUUUAAUAUUUGUAAUCCAGCCAAAUGUUUGUAAAACAUGUGGGCAUUCCUAGCAUAGAGAGCAAAACUGUGAAAACUCUAUUCUGCAAAGAUGUAUAAUUCAAAAGCUCAAAGUUUGUUCCUGCAGCCAGGUGUGCUUGUAUUUGGAUUCAUCGUUGCAGCAUUUUGAAGACGACAGAAUUAAUUUGUUAUUAGUUGUUAUUAAUAAUAGUACCUCGGUGCCAUGGCAUUUAUUCUAAAUAACAUCAAGAACUUUGUGAGAUUCAUUGCUAAUUUUAGAUGUAAGAUUAAUUUGCUUUUCACUACAAUAACAAUCUUCAUCAUGAAUCCAGGACUAUACUUGCAUGCUUCACCUUAGACUGCUUUAUCUUUAGUUGGUGAUAGCUUCAUAAAGACUGCUCUGCUCCUAAAUAGUAUUUAUAGUGUUAGAGAAGCAGACAUUUUUAUCUUAAGAUUGUUGCUUGCUUAAAUGUUUAUUCCAGAAGGUCUGAAAAAAUAUGUUUGUAACUACUGUUAAUUUCCCCCCGUGAAAAGUAGCUUAUGUAUAACUAUUUUUCAGAGUCUAUUUUGAGACAUUUUAACUACAGUCUAGUCUUAAUCUGAAUCAGACUAUAUCACAGUCACAUUUUCUCUUUAAUAGUGAAGCGCUGCAUUAGUUUUACAGCCUCUGAAACUGCAUUUUAAGGACAUACGCGUUGCUUGGGUCUCCAUUCUCCUCAAACUGAUACAUACUGAUAUGAAUCCUAAGCAAACAGUUUUGGUGCUGUGUUCCCAGGCACUUCCCUGUGGUAUGGGGAUGGAUAAUGCUUUCUGUUGACUUGGGCAAGACUGAAGCAAAAAAAAAGUAGACAGAACUGACCAUUGCUGCGACUACCUAGACUGAAAUGCCAAAUUCGGCAAACAGGCAUAGGAGAAAAGACUAGACAGAGUAUCCAGCCAGCCAUGGAUCACCAGAUGUGCCAGAACAAAACCCAUGGCUAAACUGACAUGGAAAUAUUUUAUGUAAAUUUAGCUGUGCGCCCUUUUUCUUGCUUGCUUCUCAUUGCUGUCUCUCAUGUCCUACCACACGAGAGCUCAGGGUGCCUUUCUUCAGUACUUUUUCUUACCUUUCAGAAUAUUAAAAAAUAUACAAAGCAAUUUUAGAUAACGUUUAUGGUGUAUAUCUGUUAUUUAUGUUGCAUCUGUUUGGAUACACACACCCAUGCAUAAAGCUAUUUUUAAAGAUUAGGAAGGUCACAAAGGCAUGGGCUUGGCCUAGAUUUGUGAUCCCUUGGUUAUACCCGCAUCUGCCUGCCCCAUCCCUCCCCAGGAGAUUACUGCACCACAGCCGAGGCUCCUGUUCAAAUCCCUGUGUGUUAGCAAACUGAAAACAGCAGUAGUUCAAAUUAAAAGUACUACACUGGACCAGUAACUGCAGACCCAGUCUUUCUCCCGUGUAUUUGAAGUGGCUGAAGAGGUUGUGAUUUUCAGUUGUAUGAUCAAUGCUGUUUUCAGCUGUUCCAGCUCUAUCCAGCAUGGAUGGCAACACUACAGAAUGGAAUAUUAAUGCUUCCCUUUUCAGUCAUAGAGUUUUAAUUUUUACCCAUAUUAUGUUAGCUAUAUUACUCCAUCUCUUCCUGUGCCUUGAAAAGAUGUGUCACUUGGCAAUGUAUUAAUAUAUCUUUCCUCCUUGUUCAAAAUAGUUUUCAAAUCCUGAUCAUGCAGGUUAUGCAAAGCCCACUCAGAAUACAUUAUUGGGAUUUCCAUGGAAGGCAGUUCUAGACAGAUACUUAUGUUUGAUUUUGACACAUAUGACAUGCGAUAUAUGACAUGCAAUCAUGUCAGACAUAUUUCAUUCAUCAGAGGUGGCUUCCAAAAUGCUUUUAGAAGCUAGCCAAAAAUUCCUUAACCAAUAAGAGUGUUUGAGGAUUUGUUUGGACUUUUUUGUUCCAACAGUAUCUGCUUUCAUAACUACCAGGUGGGGGUAUACAUCUCUGCGGGUGAGUAGUACAGGGGAGUAGGUAACAGAAAAGCUCCAAGUACUUUCAUUCCAUGGUACUUCUAGCAAAAGAUUCAGAUUUCUCCAAACCUUUUGCUCUUCCCCAUCAGAAUCUCAACAAACUCAUCGGGAAGCUCUGUCUUCCUCAAUUAAAAGAAUGUUAAAGACACUUAAUUUCCCUUUUGCAGUCCUACUCGGAUCUAAAUCUGCAUUUGACAUUUUAUGCUACGCCCAGUUCUGGCAGAUGUAGGCUCUGUGGCCUUGCAAUUAGCUACUGUGUUAAGUGAUAUCUAAUUUUAGGAGAUGCCAUAUGGCUUUCCCUGCAUUUUCCAAGGUAGUUUAUGAAAGGUAAGCAUGCUGUUUAGUGACAGAGAUCCAUCACUUCCUGAAGCCGUGGGAGGGUUUGUGCUUCCUCAGGAGGAUCCAGUGCUCCUUGGAGCACAAUCCACCACCAGACUAUGUGGAGCCCUUCCUACCUCAUUCCAGAUAAGAUCUCAAAAAGAAAACAUAGGGGCUAGUUAGUAUCAGGACAUUGAUCUGGAGCAUGAGAAUGUAAGUUUCAGGAUGAUGGUGUAGCAGUAAUUUUUAUUCUCUCCCAUUAGAACAGGUGUGUAACUACUUCUACAUUAAUACAGUCCUACAAUUACAUUCGGCCCUUUGAAGGCAACUGCGAGGCUGAUGUGGCCCUUGGUGAAAAUGAGUUUGACUCCCCUGCAUUAGAAGAUGACAUUUGAUUUUAGGGACUAGAAAUCUCCAAUUUUUAAGUUACUAUUCAUUGUGGUGUAAGAGACAUCUAAUCUGUUAUCUGACCAUCUGGAUUGCUUUUAUAAGAAAAACAUCAUUCCAGUAUUGGAAGGAAUAUUUCAGCUUGCCAUAUUUAAUCAGAACAUAUUGAAGCAAGAUGCAAAGUAGUAUCAGAUGAAAGCUGAACUCCUCCGUUAGAUGCUAAGUGAGUAUAACCUUCCUGUCUAAAGAGAGAAUCAAAGAGUUUAAGAAAUUACUGGCUUAGUGUUGUGCAGAAAAUAAUAAGGAACAGUCAUGUAAUAAUAACAAUGACAUAGUUAAAUAUAAUUAUAAUAAUAAAACACACAAAGAUUAAGUUACGUUGAUUAUGAUAUAUGUUAAGAUAUUUUAAGGGUUAAGAUAUACAGUGAAGAGAGUGUCAGGUUUGUCUCCGUGCCUCUCCCAUUAGGGUUUAGAUCACAUUCCACGAGGCUAAAUGUAAUCUCCUUGUUAUCAUUUUCCUUUACAAAAUUAGUGAUGCUGCUCUGUCAAGCUCUCACCACGUGUUUCCUAAGCAGAGUCUGUCUGAGCAGUUGUCAGCCGCUCUGCUUGCUGGCAGUGCAUCCGUCACUCGGAGCGUGUUCCCUCCUCGACUGUUCCCAGAGAGGGAACCUACAGAAGGCACUAAAGGAAGAGAUGGAGGCUCUUCCCCAGAAAGCAGCACUCUGAGAGGAACACAAGGAGGCUUUCGGCUGGUGCCUCACCACAUUCUGCUGAGUCAGGUCAGCAGUAAGUGAAUACUAAUUCUCCUUUGGGAGUCCUAACUACAGCUGAGGAUCUGAGGAAAUUUUGGAAGGAAACAGGGGGGCUGGAGUGCUUUCAUAGCCACUUCCUUGGAAUAUCCAGGAAAAAUACAAAGAGAGACCCAUGACCCACAGCAUCCAGAAACUGCAAUCGCAGGUCAUACCCAUGUUCACCCAUAUUGAUUUCACCUGCAGGACUCCUAUUGGAGAAGGAUUUUUGGAGUGACCUGCUCAUCACUAGCAAGUCCUUACAGGGCUGCCUGUAUUGGGCACUACUAUAAGAUUUGGCAGCAUCAAUGCUGUACCUCUGUACAUACAGAUGCAGGUGCGUGGUGUCCGUUUCUCCUGGCUUAAGCUGAUGUUCAUGGUAUCUGAUUAUUUUUUCAGAGCAUUUAAUAUUUUGUAACAUUUUAUAUAAAUGCAACUUGUUGAGGAGCAGUGACCCUGUAACUGCCCUUCAUUCAUCUAAGGGCAGUAAAAAGUAAAAAGCAGUUACAGUCCUCUCUUGGAGUGAUACAUCUGAAAUAAAUCUAUCACCCGUAACUUAAUGGUAGGUAAUAUUGUCUGGAGUCAGCUGUGUAGAUGGAGGGAGGGAUGGGCGGCAGUGGGUGUCACUGGCAUACAGCCUGCAAAGCUGCUCACAAACAGGCAGAGAGUAACAACAAGAUGAGAAGUAAAAAUGUGCUUUGGGGAGAAAGUCCCGCAAAAGAACUUUUUUGGCAAAGCACUGGCUAAAAACAGGCUUGAAAUGGCAAGCAAAGAAACUGCUUUCUAGUGUUUAAUUCCUGCUUGGUUAGAGGAGCCAUAAGCCAGAGGUUCCUGAAGACUCAUUUGAUUAGUGUUUGGCAGCCAACAGCUUCAAGUGCAGGUCAGGGCAUGGAAGGUUUAGGUCAGCCCCUGCCUGCUGUACCUUGCCUGGCUCCAUGGGACACCCCGCUGGCACCCCGACAUGCAGAGUGGGGACAGCACCCGUGAGUGCCUGGUCAGCAGAGCAAAGAAGCAACAUGAGGUUGGAAGACUUCCUAAAGCAUCAGGCGGUAAUUAAGGACCGUCGAUGAGGAAGAGCCGUGAGGCCUGGGAAGAAAAGGUUGGGCUUCGAGUCAGUGUCGGUAGCCUGAGACUUCCUGGGUUGGGUUUUCUUUAGGUUUGGUUGUGGUUUUUUGUUUGGUUGGUUUUUUGCUUGUUCAUUUGGGCAGGGGGAGGGUUGUGUGUGUGUUUUGUUUUCUCUCUCAUUUUAAAUAACCUUAAUUUAUAUUCCUAAGUGGUUUAGAAUGAAUUGUCCCGAAAUUGUAAAGCACAGUUAAGAGUAAGAGAAUUUCCAAAUAUUUGAACUAGUAAUCAUCCCCAGAAUUUUGAGUACUAAUUUUUGACACACAGUUUAUACAAAAAAAUUACAGAUCUACCUGUAGUGGGACAUUAGGGAAACCUCUCAGAAAAUUAUCUGUAAAUGAGCAGUCUGGAAUCUAUUGAAGGUCCAAUGGAGUAGGAUCUUCAUGUUCUGGCACCAACUGCUUUGCUUUCAGCCAUUUUUUACACUUUGUUUCUGCCCAUCCACUUUCAGAUGUAACUCAUCUCCCCUGGAUGGUGAUUCCAGCACUGCUGCAGAGACUGUCCCACUGCACAUUCUGUAAUAAAAAAUACACCACAACAGGUUAUAUUUAACAAGGAAAAGAGGAAUAGAAAGUGGUACAUCUGCACAAUGAAUAUAAUAUAGCAUUGACUUGGAAUUUCCUGACUUCAGCAGUCCCUCCAAAAUAAUAAUGCAUUAAUAGAAUUACACUUAGCUCUCUGCUUUUGAAAGGAAAAUAUUUGAAAGCAAAAGUCUUUUCAUCUUCCAAGUUCUUCUGGCUCUAUGUGUGAGAUAGUGGAAAUAACACAGGACUGUGUAACCACAGCAAACAAGUGGGGGGAAUUCUGGAGCUGCUUGGCUGGCCCGAAGCAGAGUGGUCGUGAAAGAGCAGCCUGGAGUUUGGAUUUAAUAGGUGAAUUAUUUCCACCCCUCUAAACUCCAUUCAUUUCUAUGGAUGAAACUAAAAUUAUUCUCUUGUAUGCAGAACUCAUGGUGACCUAUAAUUAAGGAUGUCUGACAUUUCCAUUAUAAGAGGCAGGUUUUAGUUGGCUAUAAUUUCAGCGUUUGGUUGAUUUAAAUUUUAACUGAUUAGGCAGGAGUUUCCUUUUCUGGAUAUCUCCUGCAAUCUGACUUUUUUGAGAGGGAUGCAGUAGAGAAAGAGCAAGAAGUUCAGCAAAUAGUUCAUCAGUAUUUAUAAAACAAUUAAACAAAAAUACAUUAUUUUGACUAUGCAGAGAAGCUCUAAACAUCUUGCUUAAAAUUUGGCAAAGAUGUCACUCUCUUUUGGGGAUGUUUUUUCUGCUUUCUGAGGAAAAUAUCAGCAAAUUUAGCACAUGUAAAGGCCAAGGGAAAAAAAAAAAACCAAACAAAAUUAUCCCGAGCAUGCUCCAAAGCAGGGACAGAAUUAGCUCACUGAGGAACUCUUGAUUGAUCCACCAGUAAAAAUGCUGAGAGGGAGCAGAAAUAAGUACAUAUUUAACCUCCCAGCAAUUAUAACUUUAAUGAGGCUUAGCUGAUAGAAUGUAUAAAGUUAUUUUGCUAGUCUGUUUUACCAGCAAAAUUCUGUAAUAUAGACAAAACUUCAGAAGCGUAGACUUUAUUCUCUCUCUUAUAAAUGAAUUCUAUCUUUAGCAUUGUUGUAAAACCAAACACAUGAACCUCUGUCUCACUGACUUCUUCCUAGGCGUUUUCCUAGAAAGCAUUACCAAAUGCUCUUUGUGGACUGAUAUUUUAAACCAUAUCAAUAAAAAUAUCUAUGAUGUGUAAAGAUGACAGAACUUUGGGAUCUCGGUCAGUGGAGAUCAAUCAACAUUGUUUGUGUACAGCUCUAUGUCUUAACUCUAUUCUCCAUUAAGUUCAGUUUUAAUAUCCAGCCUGUUGCUGCCAACCAGGGAUAUUGUUGAUGUGCCAGAGAUGUCAGAGACUUUGGUUCUGAAGCUUCCUCAGUGCUAUACUGAAGUGGAAAUCCCUUCUGCUCUUCAUUGUCCACAUAUCCUCAGAAUACAUUAUUACCAGUAGUAAUACAGAAUACAUUGCAUUACUACUAGUAAAAAAAUGGCCUUACUAUUGUUUACAGAAACAAUGCCAAUCUUUUGUUUUCAUGAUAAGGGAGCAAUUUGCACUUGUUUUCCUUCGCAGGUUAUUCUGUAUCUCGACAAUUUAAGAUAUUAGGUUUUGACACUUCACUGUUUUUAUGUGGGUGUAUUUGGAGAUAAGUUCACAAACCAAAAGGCUUUACUGAAAGAUGCUGCUCCUGCUUUGGAAACAGCUCUGGGAGCUGGGGGUGCUGUGCACGGAACGCCAAGGGGCCCGGCUGACAGGUUGGUGCCACCACUGCCAAGGACUCGCGAGACACUGGUGGACAUUGGGUCAGGCCCUCGAGGUUUUCUGUCUCCUUCCAUUUAACUGCAUGCCUGAGCAAGCCUGAGCAGCUUGUCCUGCAGUGAGCCUGAGCGUGGGAUCAGUGCAAACACAUAUGUUCUUGUGGCUUUGUUGGGCCUUGAAAAUCCGGUGGGAGUAUGUAGGCAACUUAGUCGUGAUUGCAGCAGGCUGUGAGCAUGACCAGGGACAUCGCAGAGCUUCAAAACCUUGCUGAAGAUUGUGUUAAGGUUAAUGACAUCGGGUAUGCAGCUGAUUUACAGCGUGCUGAAAGCUUCCCUCCUGUAUAAGAUAUACAAGAACAAACGAUGUGAACUGGGAAUUUUUGAUGUGCAAGUUUAACAUAUUGCUGCAUCCUAAAAUCACCUUGGAGGUUUUGUUUGUUUGUUUGUUUUCAGUCCAAACAUCUAAUGCUGAUUUUCAGUAAUUAAAAAUCGCAAUGUGUGUGGUGUUUACAAGUUCUAGAAGCUAAAUCCAGGUUUUGUCUACCGCUUAGGUGGUAUCUACCUACUGCAUGUCCUAUGAUUUAGGUUAACGGGAAAAAAUGUACUGGCAUUAUUUUUUUCCAUCUGUUCCUUAACCUCUGAUAUUGAGCUUCUAAAAAGCUCAAAGCAGACUAAACAGAUCACAGUCAAAACAGUAAGGUUGCUUUUCAUGCAUUCUUUAAAUCAGAUGUUUUAAUUAUAGUUUUGGGUUUGUUUUCUAAUUAGAAAACAGGUUCACAAUGUGGUAUCUAUCUUCUUCCAUUUGAAUCAAUAAACAGAGAAGUCAUGAGAAAGGGACCUCUUCUCUUCAGGGAGUCUUGUUAAUGUUGACUCAGGUUGUUAGUGCUUAUUCUUUUCUCUUUUCUUCUCCUGCCUACUUCCCAGUCUUUUCUCUUUCAGUUCCCCCUCUUGUUUCCCAAUCUGCUGCCCUACACAUAACAUGUAUGCAUUUGUCCUUCAUAUUUACCUGCUGUGUUGUGAAUGUGCUGUAUUUUUUCAGUCUGCAUUGCAAAAGUAAGCUCAAACCAGGCUAAAUGGUGCUUUUUAAGCCUAUAAAAUUUCAGACGUUUCACUGAAAGUGAAGCAAGAUAAAUACUUCAGCUAUAAAUAGUGGAUAAGGACUUCUAAACAACUUGUGAGACCUGUUUGGAAUUAUCCUGAAGGUUUGCCUCCCACCUGAAAAUCACAGAGCUGGCUGAGAAACGAGUACUUCAUGUGCUUGCAACUUGAUUAAAUUGAGAUCAGUUACUAAAUGGUCUCACUCUUUUGUUUGCUCUGUGCUUUGGAUGGCAUAGUCAGAUUUCAUAACUUCUCUUUUAUGGUUAGCUGAGUCCAAUUCCUGCAAAGACUUAACAUGUAUAUUUAACUUUAUUUUGGUUAACUGUCUGUGUGAAAACUUUUUACGUUUGUCACGCCGAUUAGUUUCUUCCUUGCUGAAAAGACCGCUGUAAAUUUCAAUAGGGAAACAGAAAAGUCCCUUAACAAUUUUUAAGGAAGCUUUUAAAACAAUAAUUUGAGGAUGUACUAUUUGAAGUGAAUUGUAUCAGAUACUGCAUUAUUUUGAAAUAAAAAAUGCUUGAAUAACAGUGACCUGUAUGUUUAUGUGUUGAGACUUGCUACUGCACAGUUGGAAGUUCAGAAACUGUUUGUAAGGGAGCAAGUAAUCAGAAAUUCAAGUAUAAUGAAGUGCUGUGGGUCCAAGGCCUGCAAUUCCCACUUGUUUAACCAGGAGCGCAGGAUAUUUUGGGUCCCUGAAGACUCCAGACACAUCUUGCUUGUGCUCCAUAUUGCUCCUGUGUGUCAGCUCUGAAGGGCUUCUCCUGGGAUCUGGAAACAAAUGAGUUAAGUCAGUUAAAACAGAUACCACAGAAGGACCGGUAGAAUUUUUUAAAUUUUAAAGCCAUUAUCUAUCUUCAAAUCCCUUCACUAGACCUACAUUAAAAUAAUGAUCGCAACCCAAAUAUAGAACAUUUGAACUGUCCUUUUCCAGGCCAGAUGUGCUAUGUUAUGUAAUGCCAUUUUAGGGUGAUUGCUGGAGCUUGGAGUAAAAGGAAAAUGAACAUAUUACAGAUAUUGUUCCAAAAAGCAAACGUCAUUAAAAAUGUUAUAAAACUCAAGGCCUCGAGCAAAAAAAAAUCUAGAAAACACAAGUUCUACACAGAGCCUUGCCUCCAUUAGGCUGAACUCUCCAGCAAGGUGCAAUCCAGCCACAGGCCCCAGAGGUUAUGAUAAACCCAGAGCCCAAAUACACUUGCCUGCACAAGCACGCUUUAUCAGGAUACAAAAGCAUUGUAACUCCUCAGAGCUUAUUCCUGCAGGCACGGCACAUUUCUAAGUUAAAUGCACCAAAGCAGAAAUUUUCUCCAUAUGCUUUUCAAAACCCUAUUAAAUAAAAACCAUCCAAGCAAGUAGUUGUCGAUACGUAUGUGCAACAGGCUUCCCAGAAAUUCUUUGUAAAUAGAGCAUCAAUGUUUUCCACUGUUCGCAGGGAGGAAAUCUGCUGAGUUCAGACUGCUGUAAUCAAAUCCACAUUGCAAAGUCACAAGUAGAGAAACAAAGGACAAUCACUGUCCAUUUUUUGCACUGCGGAUGCAUUAAUCAGACUCCAUUUUCUUCACUGCUUUGGAUUGCGUUCCCACAGUGACGUGCCAGUCUCCUGCCUCCCUUGGUUAUGUAGCUGUCCCCACCGUCACCGCAGCCAGAGCUGGGGACAGCACAAUUGCCACUUGAAGCAUUUCACAGCUGUGAUCCAAUGCAGAAGGCCGACGUCUCCACAGAGCACUGGAGAAGCAGACAUAGCAGGAGAAAGGCUUGUAGUGUCUAUGUUGAGUGUCUAAACACCUAUAGGGAGCAUACCAUGAGAGCCACAGAGCUCUGUUGGCUCAGGGAGCAUUUAUUCUCUUUCAAAUCUUUUUUCACUAUGAAGAAAAUGUUGUUCCUUUUCAGGCAUUCUGGAGCAAGAGCGAAAGCAGGAACCCAGUUGUGCCCGGCCUCUCUGCAGGGAGGUGGGAGCGGGGAGGACUGAGGGUGCUGUGCUGCGGUAACGCCCAGAACACAACCUGUCCCUGAUGAGAAACGGGGCCUUUAGCCAUCACUUGUUGUCGAUGGAGGUGGCAGAGCAGCUACACCCUGCGAGAGCCGCAGGGAGGAUCAGGUCCCGAAAGGGAUAAGCCUUGGAGUGUUUGAGAGAAACCUGCUUCCCUCUGGGAGAGGGACUCAGCAGUAAACGUGCAGCAUUUGUAGGCCAUUAUAGUACCCCCAUGACUUCAGACUCUUUGUAAGGCCUACUAAGGGGCAGGAAUAGGCAGGACUAAGGGGUAGGAGCAGGCAGGAAUAGGUAGUUGGUUUGGGCACAGCAGAUACCAGUAAUGUACUGCUGUAUGGUCCAUGCCUAGACCCAGGUAACUGGGCCUGUCUGGGCCCGGUCCCAGAUCUCUGACUUGGUUCUGGGAAGGCCGGGGUGCCUGCACAGCUCUCAAGUGUUCAGAAAAGCCAGUAUGGGUUUUCAAACCCAUUUAGUUUUGCAAAUCUGUUUCAUUGCUAUGGUGUUUCUAGAUCUGUGCCUUUUUUUCCCCUUUAGCAGCAAUGCCAUCAGUAAGAGAGAUUUAAAGAGAGCAAUUAUAUCUCCUCUUUGGCUUUAUUUAGGAAUUAUUUUUAGUCUCAUAAGGUAGUGCACCCAUAAAUUAAACUGCUUAACCUUGUAGCCUUCCUCUGCACCUAUCCCAAUUUGACUUUGUCUUUUCUGAAUGUGAGUGACCCAGUUAUUCAAAGGAUGUCAGAGGAGGUGUCAUCAACACUUUGGACAAGGGCUUGAAUUCUUCCCACACUUUUUUCUAUCCUGUGACCGCGUUUUGCACCCUAUAUGUUUGUCAUUUCCCAGGACCGCACUGACGGGUAGGCCAUGGUAAUCCUGUGAUCAAUCAGCAUCUUCAUGCUUAUCUCUCUCUGUUGUUUCCGUUUCAUUCUUGUUGUUAGCUGAAGCUCUUGAUCUCAUACUUUUUAGUUUUCAGUUCCAGCUCAUUUCUAUUACCUUACUCCCCCUUUCUGACUCUUUCUGAAAAAAAAAAAAAAAAGUUAUAUUGAUGAUUCCACCUUAUCCUGAUUAUUAACUACUCAUAUUCUUCAAGGCACUGCUAUUUUAUGUAAAAUAAUAAUGUAAAACUGGGAGAAUCAGGAGGCCUUGGUCUUUUUUGAGUUGGAUAACGUCGGACAACAUGUGCCUGUCACCGCACCAGGGCUGGGAGCUUGUGGAAAGCGAGUGUUGCGGUAGCUGGCAACACACACAGAGUCUGCGGCUCACAGGGAAUCACUGUACGGUUUUUAUGCAAUUGAUUAAAUGAUGUUGUGCACAGUCAUCAAAAAUGGAGCUUCAUGAUAUAUGUAAUGAUGUGCUUUGUUCUAAUCUUUGCCUGAAUGAUAUCAGACGAACAUCAAUUUCUAGAUGAAAUAAAUGUAAAUGAAUGUAACCAAGCCUGACAAAGUUAUCAGACAUUCCAAUUGCUGGAGGUAAACCGAGAGAAUAUAAUUUCCCCAUCCUGCCCCCAAUAAAAUCUUCUAAAAACUCACAGGUGGAGGAUUUGCUCCUUUAGGAGGCCAGUACAGCUGGUCCCUGAGUGGUCCUGGAGCAAAAACAGCACUGAUCCCCAUGUCCUGCAAAGGUGGGCUUAAUGAAGCAGUAGAGAUUUUACAGUGGCUGAAAUAUAAAUAAAGAAGAAAGGCAAAUGUCUGAGGAUGAGUCAGCCAAGAGGUGAAUCUGUUUACUCAAAAGUGGGCUGUUUUGCAGAUCACACCGAGACUUAGAAAUGAAGAUAAAGCUGCAGUGCUUGAACUUUUUAGAAAUGUUUGAUUAAUUGCUAGAGGCUGAUAUCUAAGGUGUCCCUGGCCCUUUUUUUUCCAGCUCUUAUUUCUUUAGCUUUCUGUUCUGCUGUUUCCUUUUUCUCUUUAUUUUUUUUCUCUAAUUAAAUAUAAAUAAAAAGGACUGCAUGUUCUGUGCUGUCACUUAUGAUACAUAAAUUCUCACCAGCAAUCCCAGAUUCAUUAGUGAUUUUAACUGACAGCUUGUAAUUAAAUAAAGAUAGAAGGUUUAUAGGUUUCAACUGCAUAUCUGUAUUUUUUCUCUUCUGGUUGUUUUUGCAAACUUAUCAGUAUGUGAAUCAGGGCUUUUUUUUACAUGUCUACAUGUAGAAAUAUUUCUGCUUUUGUAUCUGAUCAGAUUAGAAUUAGGUCACUUCCAGUCAAGAAAGCUGCGCUGAUAUAGCUGAUGUAUCAGCUAGGAGAGUCAUUUUUUUGUUUGGUUGGUUUGGUGGUUGGUUUGUUUGUUUGCUUCCCUUUCUGACAGGGGAAAAUCCAAGUUUAAUGCGCCGUGAAGCCAGGAGAAUCACCACAAGGACUUAACAAAAAUUCAUGCUUUUUUUCUGGAGAGCUUAUUUUCCUUCGGGUGAAGCUCUGCAGCCAUGUAGCGAGAAGGCUUUCUGAGGAGAGGCCCCUUCUCUUGUUCUUCAAUGAGACAGCUGGCAUUUUUUAUGGAGGUGAUCUGCAUUGCCAGACCAGGACACCUGAAAGCGGUGUCCCCCAGUUCUGCGUGGGAAGCCAGGCCGCCUUGGCUCCAGGCACACUUUCCAUAGAAGAGGGUGCUGUGAAACAGGAAAAUCAAUUCCAUCCUGGGUCCUAUUCGCACCUAACUUGGCAAUCCCUCUUCAUAUUAGCAGAAGUACUGAAGGCUGGGAAAACUUAGUUUAUGCUGUUCGGCUACAGACCCUUCCUAUUUUGUCUGUAUUUACUCCCUUUUAGUACCAGUACUGCUUACUGGGAAUUUGUUAUGAAGUAAAAGCCUUAAAUGCAAACUACUUCCCAGGCCAGUAAGAAAUAUUUAAACACUUCAGGCAUUUAGUCUGUGAUUCAGAGAUUUAUUUAUAAAACUGUUGAUUUUGGGACACUAAACCGUUGCAUUUAAACUGCAGAAAUGAGUCAUAUUUGUGGGAGGUAAUUACUACCAGAAAGUACAACUAACUUUUGUAGGUUUCUCUGUAAAAUGUCCACUUAUGAUCUGCAACUACUAAAAAUAACAUGCUUUGUUGAAUUUUAGUACAAGCUAUCUUCACAGAACUUUGUGGCUUUAUACAUGUAUUCUGUUUUCCUGACAUAUGAUAACAUAAACGACUCAAAUGCCUGAGAAUUUAUUUGAGUGUUUUAUGUGAACUGUCCUGACCAGGUAACUUGUUCGACUUUUACACUUUUCAUGAAAAACAAAUACUUUGUUUUAACAAAAAGGGAAAAGCCGUUUAACAGGGGAACAGUUGUAGCUAGCAUUUACAAACAGUGUUGGUUCCUCAGAAAAGCCUCUGAUUUCUUGAAUCACCCAAAACCACAAUAUCUACUCAAUCUGUUCUCUCCUGUGCGGUUAGCGGAUCUUGGGAGCUGAGGGACUUCCAGAUGUCCAACACCUGCAGAAGCUACUUGCAGAGCAGGAGGGAACUUUCCUCAUUAUCCCUCAGUCAUGACUGAGGAAUUCAAGUUUAUUUAACUUGUGGUCACUUAGCAGCACUCUCUACUAGCAGAUGAGUCAGAAGCUAUGCCACCUAUCCCAAGAGAGUACCCUGCAAUGGGGUUCAGAAAAAUAAUGUCAUCUCUCCUGGCAUACUAGGUUUUGAACAGUUUUUCCCAUGUCAGUCACAGAGACCUUAAGGUGCACCAUAAACCCAAGAGGCCUUUCAUUGCCAGCAGACCAAAAAUGGAGUUGCUAUCCAGAAUUUAAACUACAGUCCUCUGAAAAUCUCCUUCCCCUCCAAAAUGGGCAGUUAUAGAAGAAGGCUUCCUUUAAAAACUGCAAUUACCCGUGUGCGUGAUUUGCCAGGAAUCAGUUAUUCUCUGCUACAUUUCCCAGGAAUCUUGUGAUCAGAUCAUGGUCAGGAAGUCGUUGUCCUGUCCCCCCUGCUCAUCCAAAGUGAAUCCAGCUCCCAAAAACUGCGUAGUUCUGUGAGGUGAUGGGGGUCAGACGUGGGGAGGAUGGGACUUGCCUUUCCAUGGCUUUGCAAAGAAGAGAACUAAAUAUUAUUGUCCUUUAUGCCUGGUUGGGCAGCUCCACCCUUUUCUACCCAUGGUUCUCAGACAAAUAACAGUUAUUUUUCCUUGCUUUCCCCCCUGCCUUUUCUAGGGUCAGGAUUUAAUUAACAGCUGGUUCUGGGCAUUGUGCUGCACUUGGCCAUGGCAGUGGUGCUGGCUGGCAGAUGAUUUGUCCACAUCAAGGGAGCUCCCCAUGCUGCUGGAAUGUCACCCUGAUGUGCCCACACAGGAGAAGGGCUGCGUGAGGGACAACCUAUGCUUUGAGAUACCACGCGUAGCAGGAUGUCAGCUGGCGCUCAGGGAGGGUCAGGACUGUUGCUCAUCGGCAUUGAAGUGGAUGUGUGUACACUUACAUUAAGUUACAAAUUGCAUCUUUGAGGUGUUGUAUCAGUACUACUUGCUACAGCAAAGUAGUGUUGGAAGGCAAAUUGCCUUUUCCCUUGAAUUCACUCUACAAGAACAGUGGAAUUAUGACUUCAGAUUGAUUAAUGGCCUACUCACUCUAGUGUCUUCAGCCAAGGAGCAAGAGUCACCAAAGCUUCAGAGAAAGAGAUAAAACCUCAUAAUAAUAUUUAGAUAAUAAGAUGCUUUUUUUUGGCAAAAUACUUCCUAAUAUCAAAGUUAUUUUUGCUUGAGAAGUUAAUGAAAGAUGCACAAAACCCUCCUCUUCUGAUGGCUUCUUUGAUGACUUUAAAAAAGGAAACACUUGCCUCCCAAACAAAACAACGAUGGCCACUUCAAAACAGAUAAGCCAGGGACAGAAAUGCUGCUGGGACUGUGCUGCUAGCCCUCAAUCACUAGCACCGAGGCCAAAUACAGUUUCUGGGGGAUGCUUGCUAAAAUACUGGGCUGUUUGCACCUCAAACAGGGGGAUGUGAAGCCAGACCAGCAGAGCUCCCACUGCCUUGGUUUCUCCAGAAAGAAGAGGCAAAUACAAAGGACACUCCUUCUGGGAGGACUUGACCGGCAGCAAUGAGGACUAGCCUAGAGGGUUUAAAGUGAUUGCCAGUAUAAUGGUGCCCCAGGCCCAGCCCUUGCUGCAGGCAGGGCAGGAGUGGCGUGGGGCUGAGCUGCCCAGCCACUUCUCCGACCAACAGCUCCACACAGGCAGCGGUGAAGGGCUUCUCCUACUUCCCAGCUCACCCAGCCCUACAACAUGGCCCCUUUCUCUUGUUCCUUUCACCAGCUGCAAGGUAUUGCUCUGGUUUUGGGUGAGCACCCUCCUGGGCUUUGCUUCUGUGGUGUUUCCUGCCACCAUGGACCAGCUCUUUUUAGGCCUCCUGUAAACCACCGCAAGUAGAAACUCCUUUAUGGCCUGUCUCCUUUUCUAACAAGGAAUACCCCACCAGAGGAGCACUGAGGUGCCCAAGCCCAGACCUUGACCCAGGAGAGAUUUAUUACAUGCUUUCUUGCUCCUCUGCCCUUCCAACUUUGGUAAGGACUCUGCACCUUGAAGCUUCUGCCAAGAGACUUUUGCCUGAUAUGGAGAAGCAUUAGAAAGGCUGCCUGCAGCCAGACACAUCUACAGAAAGAAUGGUAACUGCACUUUGGUACGGAGCUUGGGCUCUGCAGUCUCUGGUUUAAGUGUAAGGGAAGUCAGCAGCAUUUUCAAGCCAAUGGCUUCCAGUCAUUCACCUUCAGGGAUCCUAGAAGUGUAGUGGGGAUUGCAGGGAUAAAGACUGGUCAUGGAUUACUCAUAAAAAGAAAAAAAAAAUUAGUAGAACUAUAUAAAUGCUAGCUGACAGCUUGUUUGCCAAGUUUUAGUCCAGUAGAGUUGAAAUGGCCAAGUUUUUAAUGCCAAAAAUUGAGGUUUGUAAAGGAAAUACCAAACCAAUCUUGGCAGAAAAAAAGAGUUGGACAUUAAACUACAGAGCAUAGACUGCAUUUGCUUCAUAGGUGGAGAAAUAAACAAGUUACAAAAAAGAAAA
Long non-coding RNA from Columba livia (rock pigeon), 22806 nucleotides. RefSeq lists it as uncharacterized. Lineage: Eukaryota; Metazoa; Chordata; Aves; Columbiformes; Columbidae. The record is from RefSeq and is a predicted model, not a curated record. The transcript is spliced from 2 exons.